AUUAAACGCUGGCGGCAUGCCUUACACAUGCAAGUCGAACGGCAGCACGGGAGCUUGCUCCUGGUGGCGAGUGGCGGACGGGUGAGUAAUACAUCGGAACGUGCCCUGGAGUGGGGGAUAACGCAGCGAAAGCUACGCUAAUACCGCAUAUUCUGUGAGCAGGAAAGCAGGGGAUCGCAAGACCUUGCGCUCUAGGAGCGGCCGAUGUCGGAUUAGCUAGUUGGUGGGGUAAAGGCCCACCAAGGCGACGAUCCGUAGCGGGUCUGAGAGGAUGAUCCGCCACACUGGGACUGAGACACGGCCCAGACUCCUACGGGAGGCAGCAGUGGGGAAUUUUGGACAAUGGGCGGAAGCCUGAUCCAGCCAUGCCGCGUGAGUGAAGAAGGCCUCGG
RNAcentral lists this ribosomal RNA (392 nucleotides) under uncultured bacterium. RNAcentral's name for it is "bacterial SSU rRNA". It matches the Rfam family "Bacterial small subunit ribosomal RNA", at positions 29 to 420 of the family's 1533-position model. The record is from RNAcentral.